This 333-nucleotide long non-coding RNA is filed under the name Mytilus galloprovincialis (Mediterranean mussel). Lineage: Eukaryota; Metazoa; Mollusca; Bivalvia; Mytilida; Mytilidae. The record is from RNAcentral.
GUAUUAUUUGUGAAUUUGACACGGAAUAUUUAUCAACAAGAUAUUAGUAACUUCCGAUGAACUGUUUUAGAAAGAGGAUGAGACGUUCGUUGACAUAACCAUGGUUCAUCAACUUUUGCUCAUCCACUAGUGUCGUUUUAUGAAGUCUGAGUAGGAGCCAUAAGCUGUUGAAUACCGACUGAGUUGGUUAAUGUAUAUCUCAUAUGCAGGCGAGGUUUGUACAUAUCAACUAAGAUGGGAGAAAAUGAUAAUUUCAAUUAACAUCGGUUCAUCUGAGAUAACCACUUAUGUCAAAUUUGAGAUAUAAGUCUGAAAAUGAGACAGAGGAAGCCG